Peromyscus californicus insignis is the source of this 456-nucleotide non-coding RNA. The record is from the annotation of a RefSeq genome assembly. NCBI's taxonomy places the organism in Eukaryota, Metazoa, Chordata, Mammalia, Rodentia, Cricetidae.
AUGGGAUGUCACUGGAUCUUUCUCUUCCUUGUGUUAGUAACUACAGGUGUUCAUGCCCAGGUCCAGCUGCAGCAGUCUGGGGCUGAGCUGGUGAAACCUGGAGCCUCAGUGAAGGUGUCCUGCAAGGCUUCUGGCUACACUUUUGAUACCUAUGCUAUGCAGUGGGUGAAGCAGGUGCCUGGACAGGGUCUGGAGUGGAUUGGGUACAUUAUUCCUAUAUUUGGUAGUACUGACUACAAUCAGAAGUUCAAGGAAAAGGCCACACUGACUGCAGACACAUCCUCCAGCACAGCCUAUAUGGAGCUCAGCAGGCUGACCUCUGAGGACUCUGCGGUCUAUUACUGUGCAAGACACACAGUGUUGCAACCACAUCCUGAGUGUGUCAGAAACCCUGGAGGAGCAGGAAGCUGCCCUGCGACUGAGAUGACAGAUAAGAUUAGACUGGAGAUUUAUUAA